RNAcentral lists this ribosomal RNA (429 nucleotides) under bacterium. RNAcentral's name for it is "partial 16S ribosomal RNA". It matches the Rfam family "Bacterial small subunit ribosomal RNA", at positions 355 to 776 of the family's 1533-position model. The record is from RNAcentral.
UAGGGAAUCUUCGGCAAUGGGGGCAACCCUGACCGAGCAACGCCGCGUGAGUGAAGAAGGUUUUCGGAUCGUAAAGCUCUGUUGUAAGAGAAGAACGUGUGUGAGAGUGGAAAGUUCACACAGUGACGGUAACUUACCAGAAAGGGACGGCUAACUACGUGCCAGCAGCCGCGGUAAUACGUAGGUCCCGAGCGUUGUCCGGAUUUAUUGGGCGUAAAGCGAGCGCAGGCGGUUUAAUAAGUCUGAAGUUAAAGGCAGUGGCUUAACCAUUGUUCGCUUUGGAAACUGUUAAACUUGAGUGCAGAAGGGGAGAGUGGAAUUCCAUGUGUAGCGGUGAAAUGCGUAGCUAUAUGGAGGAACACCGGUGGCGAAAGCGGCUCUCUGGUCUGUAACUGACGCUGAGGCUCGAAAGCGUGGGGAGCAAACAGG